RNAcentral lists this ribosomal RNA (440 nucleotides) under uncultured bacterium. RNAcentral describes it as "partial 16S ribosomal RNA". It matches the Rfam family "Bacterial small subunit ribosomal RNA", at positions 338 to 795 of the family's 1533-position model. The record is from RNAcentral.
CCUACGGGAGGCAGCAGUGGGGAAUAUUGCACAAUGGGGGAAACCCUGAUGCAGCGACGCCGCGUGAGUGAAGAAGUAAUUCGUUAUGUAACGCUCUAUCAGCAGGGAAGAAAAUGACGGUACCUGAGUAAGAAGCCCCGGCUAACUACGUGCCAGCAGCCGCGGUAAUACGUAGGGGGCAAGCGUUAUCCGGAUUUACUGGGUGUAAAGUGAGCGUAGACGGCAGUGCAAGUCUGGAGUGAAAGGCGGGGGCUCAACCCCCGGACUGCUGUGGAAACUGUACGGCUGGAGUGCAGGAGAGGUAAGUGGAAGUCCUAGUGUAGCGGUGAAAUGCGUAGAUAUUAGGAGGAACACCAGUGGCGAAGGCGGCUUACUGGACUGUAACUGACGUUGAGGCUCGAAAGCGUGGGGAGCAAACAGGAUGAGAUACCCGUGUAGUC